Microplitis demolitor is the source of this 1987-nucleotide long non-coding RNA. RefSeq lists it as uncharacterized. The record is from RefSeq and is a predicted model, not a curated record. The transcript has 3 exons. Lineage: Eukaryota; Metazoa; Arthropoda; Insecta; Hymenoptera; Braconidae.
UUUAGAUAAAGCAGAUUUUACAAAAUAGUCUGCAAGUUUAUUAAUAUAUGGCAUAUUCAUACUGAAAAUUGGUUAGAUAAUAAAUUUCUUAGAGAACUUGUAAGAAAAUAGUAUAAGCAUGCCGAUUGGUUUAUAUAUUGAAACAAAGUGAAUCUUUUAAUAAUAUUAUUUAUAAUAGUAAUAAACAAUUAUAACCGAUGUAAACUCUAAUGAUAUGAUUUUUAUAAUUCUAAAUAUAGUACAAUAAUAUAUUUAAUCAGCAUCUGAGUGAGAAAUUGUACGAUAGUGCUAUUAUUAUAAAAAAAUUAUCUUGUAACCAAUUAUAAUAAAAAAGUUUGGUACAGGAGUUAUUAAAACAAUAGCAUUGGAUGCUCGAACAGAUUUUUUGGCAGUGCGAUCAGGAACUUAUAAAUGUCGUGAAAAAACAAAAGAAAGGAUAAUAGAUCGUAAUUGUCAUAUUGAAUCUUUAUGGAACACCAUUGAUAAAAACUUGAAUGACCCUAAAAUAAUUGAGUCAAAAAACUUAUUGGAAAUUAUUGACACGUUACCUCUAAUCGUGACACUAAAAAGACAAGAACAUGAAAAUAUGAAAAAAAUGAUAGAUAAUGUGAUAACUAAAGAAGGAAAGCUACUCAAAAAUGAAAAAAUCAUGUAUUUAGGAAUUACUGAGAUAGAUAGUGAAGAAUCAAUAAUUGAAAAACUAAUAAAAAUACGUCGACAUUGCUUUCAAUAUCAACAUGAUUUACAAUUCGUAUUGGUUAAUCUAUUAAAUUAUGAGACAUCAUAAUGACAAUAAUACAUGACAUGUAAAUCUACUCUGUUUAAAAAAUCCGAUAGAUUCUUAUAGCCAAGGUAUAAGGUCCUAUACUUAACUAUAGCAGUUCUCAUAGAACUUAUUCAUUCUUAUAAAAUGUCUAUGGGAAUUUAUAAGAACUUAUUGGAUUCUAUAAGAUUUUCUAAACAGGCAGGUUAGACGACCGUCGUCAGAUCCAACAGCAUACAGUGGAGGGUUCAACGACACCUCAAAACUGCCAUUUGAAGCAAAUGGCAGGUUCGAAGGCUAUAUAUACAGUUAAACGUUCAAGACAUAAAAAUUUAUAAACAUAUAUCGCAUAUUUGACGACAUCAAUUUUGAAUAAGAUGGCAGGUUUCGCGACAUUUGCUGAAUCGACGACAAAUUUCAAACCGAUAAAAAUUGUAAACGGCAGUUUUGACGACAUCUAUCAGUAUCAUACGGCAGGUUUAACGACAUUUGGCAGAUUUGACGACCGUUGUCGAAGCCAGUGGUAUACAGAGAUGGGUUUGACGAUAUCGGUACACAUCAAAAACUUUGUAAAAUGCCCUAUUAAUCAUUAAAAUUGGUCGAUUAAUUUAAAUGAUAUUGACAGAAAAAAACUAACAAAGUUACAAUUUACGUCAUUUGUUCAGGAUAACUCAUAAUAUGAUUGACCAAAUGUAUCAAAAACUACACCGGGCCGAUGACUAUAGUUUUUCCCGAUCAUCACAUUGUUUAGUGUAAUCGGUUCACUAGUUUAUAUAUAAUCGACUAAAAAUUUUAAAAUCAUUAGUUUUUCAUUCGUCACGGAUAACUUAAAAAUAACUCUAUCUGAUUCGAAACUCAUUUAGUUCUCCACCUUAAAAUCCAAUUAAAAAUAACCCACAAGCUUUUCUUACCUCUCAAUCAAGUUAAGACUAGAUAAUAUAUUUAUUAUUUAUAGAUUCUAUCACUAUAUGAAAUACUUACUAAGAAUUUCGGAUUUAAUUAUUGUUCCGAAGUUAUAAUAAAUCAGAAUGCAAUUUCAAUCAAUGAAGAUUAGAGCCUGGAUUUUUGCUAUAAUUUAAAAACAAUAUGCAAUAAUUAAUGGUGUGAAAUUUUUGAUAUUACGGCCAAAAUAUUAGUCGUAUAAAAAUUUUUUUUUUACAAAAGUUGUAGUAAAUUCAAUUUUAUAAAAACAAUGUCUCUUCUAAUUUUUUUUUAGGACUAUUA